This is a long non-coding RNA of Notolabrus celidotus (New Zealand spotty), 873 nucleotides long. RefSeq lists it as uncharacterized. The transcript is spliced from 3 exons. The record is from RefSeq and is a predicted model, not a curated record. Lineage: Eukaryota; Metazoa; Chordata; Actinopteri; Labriformes; Labridae.
GGUCGCCGGUGGAAGCAAUGCAUCAGUUUUUUCUGCCCUAUGGUUGUCUCUGGCUCCAUCAUGCUGCCGGACCAGGGUUAGCUUCUGUUUCAGGGGAUGGGUGCCUUGACAAGAUGGAGGAAGCGGAUGCCGACGCAAAAAGAUCAAAACCCCCUCUGCCAGAGAAACAAGUGUCCUCCUCCCAGCAGCCGAGCAGGAGAGAGGAAAGAGUCGCUCAACAGGUAGACGUACACAAUGCAGCAGCCCAUCCCCCUGGAUAAAAUGCAUCAACCAAUCAUCAUCAGAGUGCUGCUGCAGGAGGGGGUCCUUAGCAACAGCUGGAUACCUGUUGGCCAAAUAGUGCUGUUGGCAUCUAUUCCAAGCUGCAGGUUCCUCCCCGACCAUCAAAUACAGCACGACUGACGGAAUAUUUUAUCCCUCACUGCAUCAUCAGCCUGCUGCUGCCACGCAGACUUAAUGGAAAAAAAAAAGAUUAAAAGCAUUUAGAAACUUUUAAAUGAAGAAGUUCCUUUGAUGGAAGAAGUCCAGGGAGGUUAGUCUCCUUCCAAAUUAUACUUCAGAUCUGAAGCCAGUUUAUAAUUUCUAAGUUAUAAGUGUGUCAAAGUCUUGAUUGAAUUUCAGCCAAGUCAAGUUCAGGGCCACGUUAGACUGUGCAGCUGUCUGGGCCUUGUUUUGACACACAGGUACAUAGGAACACACGCACACACACACAAACACACAUGGGCCCACACAGACAUCAUCAGUCCUCAAUUCAGCUGAAGUUUAAGUUAAGUAUGAAAGAAAAUGAAACAUAAAUUACGUUUUACUCUUCAGUUGUCAGUUUUUGUUAACCUGUUAACACCUCUUUUGUGCUUUGCAUGUUAAAUAUCAUGU